AGGUUGGCUUAGAAGCAGCCAUCCUUUAAAGAGUGCGUAAUAGCUCACUAGUCGAGUGGCACUGCGCCGAAGAUGUACCGGGGCUAAAGCAUAAUACCGAAACUGCGGAUUACUUUGUAAUGGUAGGGGAGCGUUCUAAGUGCGCUGAAGGUUGAUCGUAAGGACAGCUGGAGUGCUUAGAAGUGAGAAUGCCGGUAUGAGUAGCGCAAGACGUGUGAGAAUCACGUCCACCGUUUGCCCAAGGUUUCCUGGGUCAAGUUCGUCUUCCCAGGGUUAGUCGGGUCCUAAGGCGAGGCCGAAAGGCGUAGUCGAUGGACAACAGGUUGAUAUUCCUGUACCACCUAUAUGACUGAUGGAGUGACGAAGGAGGCUAGCAAGUGCCUGUUAUUGGAUUCAGGUCUAAGCACAAAGGCUUAUAUGUAGGGAAAUCCGCAUAUUGGUAGGCUGAAGUGUGAUGGCGAAGAAAGUAGCAAUACAAUCGAAGACUUGUGACGCCAAACUUCCAAGAAAAGCUUCUAGGGUUAAUCGUAUAGGUGCCCGUACCGAGAACCGCCACAGGUGGGCAAGGAGAGUAUCCUAAGGUGAGCGAGAGAACUAUGGUUAAGGAACUCGGCAAAAUGACCCCGUAACUUCGGGAGAAGGGGUGGUCUAGCGAUAGACCCGCAGUAAAGAGUCCCAGGCAACUGUUUACCAAAAACACAGCUCUCUGCUAAAUCGAAAGAUGAUGUAUAGGGGGUGACACUUGCCCAGUGCUGGAAGGUUAAGAGGAGAGGUUAGUAAUGACUUCGGUUAUAUUUACGAAGCUUCGAAUUGAAGCCCCAGUGAACGGCGGCCGUAACUAUAACGGUCCUAAGGUAGCGAAAUUCCUUGUCAGGUAAGUUCUGACCCGCACGAAAGGCGUAAUGAUCUGGGUACUGUCUCAACCAUAGACUCGGUGAAAUCUUAAUACCUGUGAAAAUGCAGGUUACCCGCGACAGGACGGAAAGACCCCAUGGAGCUUUACUGUAGCUUGAUAUUGGAUCUCGAUGUGUUAUGUAGAGGAUAGGUGGGAGACUAUGAUGUUAGGACGCUAGUUCUAACGGAGUCAACCUUGGAAUACCACCCUUAGCAUGUUGAGAUUCUAACCUCGACCCAUUAUCUGGGUCAGGGACAGUGUCUGGUGGGCAGUUUGACUGGGGCGGUCGCCUCCCAAAAAGUAACGGAGGCGCUCAAAGGUUCCCUCAGAAUGGUUGGAAAUCAUUCGAAGAGCGUAAUGGUAUAAGGGAGCUUUACUGCGAGACCUACAAGUCAAGCAGUUACGAAAGUAGGACAUAGUGGGCCGGCGAUUCAGAAUGGAAUGGUCGUCGCUUAACGGAUAAAAGUUACCCUGGGGAUAACAGGCUGAUACCACCCAAUAGUUCACAUAGACGGUGGUGUUUGGCACCUCGAUGUCGGCUCGUCACAUCCUGGAGGUGGAGUCGCUUCCAAGGGUUGGGCUGUUCGCCCAUUAAAGUGGCACGCGAGCUGGGUUCAGAACGU
Molecule: ribosomal RNA, 1518 nt
Filed under: human gut metagenome
Description: bacterial LSU rRNA
Rfam family: Bacterial large subunit ribosomal RNA
Source: RNAcentral